UGGGGAAUUUUGGACAAUGGGCGAAAGCCUGAUCCAGCAAUGCCGCGUGUGUGAAGAAGGCCUUCGGGUUGUAAAGCACUUUUGUCCGGAAAGAAAUCCUUGGCUCUAAUACAGUCGGGGGAUGACGGUACCGGAAGAAUAAGCACCGGCUAACUACGUGCCAGCAGCCGCGGUAAUACGUAGGGUGCAAGCGUUAAUCGGAAUUACUGGGCGUAAAGCGUGCGCAGGCGGUUUGCUAAGACCGAUGUGAAAUCCCCGGGCUCAACCUGGGAACUGCAUUGGUGACUGGCAGGCUAGAGUAUGGCAGAGGGGGUAGAAUUCCACGUGUAGCAGUGAAAUGCGUAGAGAUGUGGAGGAAUACCGAUGGCGAAGGCAGCCCCCUGGGCCAAUACUGACGCUCAUGCACGAAAGCGUGGGGAGCAAACAGGAUUAGAUACCCUGGUAGUCCACGCCCUAAACGAUGUCAACUAGUUGUUGGGGAUUCAUUUCCUUAGUAACGUAGCUAACGCGUGAAGUUGACCGCCUGGGGAGUACGGUCGCAAGAUUAAAACUUAAAUGAAUUGACGGGGUCAUAGCUGUUUCCU
RNAcentral lists this ribosomal RNA (584 nucleotides) under uncultured bacterium. RNAcentral's name for it is "partial 16S ribosomal RNA". It matches the Rfam family "Bacterial small subunit ribosomal RNA", at positions 355 to 1375 of the family's 1533-position model. The record is from RNAcentral.